This is a non-coding RNA of Macaca mulatta (Rhesus monkey), 488 nucleotides long. The record is from RefSeq and is a predicted model, not a curated record. Lineage: Eukaryota; Metazoa; Chordata; Mammalia; Primates; Cercopithecidae.
UAAUUUUUAAAAAUAAUCACUUGUUCUUAUCUCCAUGAGGACCUUCAAGGAAUAACUGAGAGAAGAGAAAGAUCCCCUAAAAUGGCAAUGGAGAGCUCUUGAAUAUUUGUGUGCAGAAGGCUGGAGGUCACAGAUGUAUGAUAUACUUAGUAAGUGUUGGGAGAAGAAAGAAGGGAGAUCUAUCAGAAAAGAGGGAACAAGGGAAGGAGGAAACAGGAGAUCUACUCCAUUACGCUAGCAGGCGGAAGAGGACGGAGAACUGCGAUGGGAGGUCAGACGGACCACGCUCAUCAGGGGUUUAUUGCCCAAAAUGAUGUUCAAGACCUCUCACAUCAGCAGAAGAACAAAACGGUGAGUGAAAUUACCCAAUUUCUGCAGAACUCAUAAACAUCCUGAAUGUAGGUCACACUCAUUGCCUGAUGUGCUGUGCAUGUCAUGUUCCAACAAAGCAGCUGCCACGGGUAGCCAAACUCCCGGAAAGCAGCACA